UGUGAGUGGAGUUUUCAAUGUCUUGUUUCCAUCACUAGCAGAAUGGGAGACCUCUGGGUGAACUGCUUUACUAUGGAGCCUUUUGUCUGCUGAAAAAAAUAAGAAAUGGCAGUUCUUUCAUGAAAUUUUGACAUCUGCAGACAAAUAAUGUCCCACAGCAUGUGCCAAAUUCCCUCUCUUCAUAUGUAACUCUGGCUACAAACACCUCCUACCCUGAUAUUUUUAGUGACAAGUGGAAAAUUGCUCUAUUAGCAGAACAAGGAGAAGUUAAUUCCUUCCAGCACCAGUUGCUGUUUUUUUAAGGCCAUGGAAACUUGGAAUUGAAUAUGCAAUAACAGAACUGUGCUGACUUUGAAUGGGAAUUAAUGUCAAAGAUGCCCCUGAAGUCCAAAGCUGGAAUUCAGAGGAAAGACUUCUACAGAACGUUUUGCAUUUGACGUGCCUGUAUCACUGCAAAGAGGCUAAGAACCUUAAGCUUUCCAUCCUCAAGUCCUGC
Long non-coding RNA from Gallus gallus (chicken), 496 nucleotides. The record is from Ensembl. NCBI's taxonomy places the organism in Eukaryota, Metazoa, Chordata, Aves, Galliformes, Phasianidae.